UACGGGGGAUGCGAGCGUUAUCCGGAUUUAUUGGGUUUAAAGGGUGCGCAGGCGGCACGGCAAGCCGGCGGUCAAAUCGCGGGGCUCAACCCCGCCCAGCCGUCGGAACUGCCGGGCUAGAGUGGGCGAGAAGUGCGCGGAAUGCGUGGUGUAGCGGUGAAAUGCAUAGAUAUCACGCAGAACUCCGAUUGCGAAGGCAGCGCACCGGCGCCCUACUGACGCUCAGGCACGAAAGCGUGGGUAUCGAACAGG
Molecule: ribosomal RNA, 252 nt
Filed under: uncultured bacterium
Lineage: Bacteria
Description: partial 16S ribosomal RNA
Rfam family: Bacterial small subunit ribosomal RNA
Source: RNAcentral